Molecule: ribosomal RNA, 229 nt
Filed under: uncultured bacterium
Lineage: Bacteria
Description: partial 16S ribosomal RNA
Rfam family: Bacterial small subunit ribosomal RNA
Source: RNAcentral
UGCGCAGUCGGGAAAUUAAGUCAGUGGUGAAAUCCUGCAGCUUAACUGUAGAAUUGCCAUUGAUACUGAUUUUCUUGAGUGCAGUUGAGGUGGGCGGAAUGUGUAAUGUAGCGGUGAAAUGCUUAGAUAUUACACAGAACACCGAUUGCGUAGGCAGCUCACUAAACUGUUACUGACGCUCAGGCACGAAAGCGUGGGGAGCGAACAGGAUUAGAUACCCUGGUAGUCC